RNAcentral lists this ribosomal RNA (523 nucleotides) under uncultured Cellulomonas sp. RNAcentral describes it as "bacterial SSU rRNA". It matches the Rfam family "Bacterial small subunit ribosomal RNA", at positions 96 to 633 of the family's 1533-position model. The record is from RNAcentral. Lineage: Bacteria; Bacillati; Actinomycetota; Actinomycetes; Micrococcales; Cellulomonadaceae.
UGGCGAACGGGUGAGUAACACGUGAGUAACCUGCCCCUGACUCUGGGAUAACUGCUGGAAACGGUGGCUAAUACCGGAUAUGAAACGCCUUCGCAUGGGGGUGUUUGGAAAGAUUUUUUGGUCAGGGAUGGGCUCGCGGCCUAUCAGCUUGUUGGUGGGGUGAUGGCCUACCAAGGCGACGACGGGUAGCCGGCCUGAGAGGGCGACCGGCCACACUGGGACUGAGACACGGCCCAGACUCCUACGGGAGGCAGCAGUGGGGAAUAUUGCGCAAUGGGCGAAAGCCUGAUGCAGCGACGCCGCGUGAGGGAUGAAGGCCUUCGGGUUGUAAACCUCUUUCAGCAGGGAAGAAGCGAGAGUGACGGUACCUGCAGAAGAAGCGCCGGCUAACUACGUGCCAGCAGCCGCGGUAAUACGUAGGGCGCAAGCGUUGUCCGGAAUUAUUGGGCGUAAAGAGCUCGUAGGCGGUUUGUCGCGUCUGCUGUGAAAACCUAAGGCUCAACCUUGGGCUUGCAGUGGGUAC